Molecule: ribosomal RNA, 429 nt
Filed under: Gemmatimonadota bacterium
Lineage: Bacteria; Pseudomonadati; Gemmatimonadota
Description: Gemmatimonadetes bacterium partial 16S ribosomal RNA
Rfam family: Bacterial small subunit ribosomal RNA
Source: RNAcentral
UAGGGAAUCUUCGGCAAUGGACGAAAGUCUGACCGAGCAACGCCGCGUGAGUGAAGAAGGUCUUCGGAUCGUAAAACUCUGUUGUUAGAGAAGAACAAGGACGUUAGUAACUGAACGUCCCUUGACGGUAUCUAACCAGAAAGCCACGGCUAACUACGUGCCAGCAGCCGCGGUAAUACGGAGGUGGCAAGCGUUGUCCGGAUUUAUUGGGCGUAAAGCGAGCGCAGGCGGUUUCUUAAGUCUGAUGUGAAAGCCCCCGGCUCAACCGGGGAGGGGCAUUGGAAACUGCAAGACUUGAGUGCAGGAGAGGGGAGUGGAAUUCCAGGUGUAGCGGUGAAAUGCGUAGAUAUAUGGAGGAACACCAGUGGCGAAGGCGGCUUUCUGGUCUGAAACUGACACUGAGGCUCGAAAGCGUGGGGAGCAAACAGG